This 526-nucleotide ribosomal RNA is filed under the name uncultured bacterium. RNAcentral describes it as "bacterial SSU rRNA". It matches the Rfam family "Bacterial small subunit ribosomal RNA", at positions 62 to 615 of the family's 1533-position model. The record is from RNAcentral.
UCGAACGAGGUAGCGAUACCUAGUGGCAGACGGGUGAGUAACACGUGGUCAACCUGCCUCCGUGUGGGGGAUAACUAGCCGAAAGGUUAGCUAAUACCGCAUACGAUCGUUUGAGGGCAUCCUCGGACGAUGAAAGGAGCAAUCCGCACGGAGAGGGGACUGCGUCCCAUUAGUUUGUUGGUGGGGUAACGGCCUACCAAGACCGCGAUGGGUAGCUGGCUUGAGAGAGCGACCAGCCACACUGGAACUGAGACACGGUCCAGACUCCUACGGGAGGCAGCAGUGAGGAAUUUUCCGCAAUGGGCGAAAGCCUGACGGAGCGACGCCGCGUGUGGGAAGAAGGCCUUCAGGUCGUAAACCACUGUCGAAGGGGACGAUAUUGACGGUACCCUUGGAGGAAGCCCCGGCUAACUACGUGCCAGCAGCCGCGGUAAGACGUAGGGGGCAAGCGUUGUCCGGAAUUAUUGGGCGUAAAGCGCUCGUAGGUGGAUCGGCAAGUCCGCAAGCAAAGACCCGGGCUCAACUC